This 5303-nucleotide long non-coding RNA is filed under the name Daucus carota (carrot). Its description in RNAcentral is "long non-coding RNA (DCAR_LNC005087)". Lineage: Eukaryota; Viridiplantae; Streptophyta; Magnoliopsida; Apiales; Apiaceae. The record is from RNAcentral.
GCGAGCAGCAGUCCUCGGGGAAGGCGCUCCGCUUAUGCUUAGAUUCUUUCUCAUUUGUUCGGAGCUGGAUCCGCCAUGGCCCUUGGUUGGACUACUAUCACCGGAAUACUCAGACGGCUUGGAGGUAAUGAUUAUGCUGCCAACAUUCCGUGAACUGGCUUUGCUGGAUGCCGUGCUGCAUGGGGAACUCUUUUGCUCACUUUGACACCAAUCACAUAUUUCGAUCGGCUUCGAUGAUUUCAUGUAGUUGUUGCUACAAUACCUAUUAGCAAUUGUAAUAACAUAUUUAUAUAUUUACGGAUGCCAAGAUCUCGAUACGCAUAUUAUAUACAUGUGUCGAAAUAAACUUAAUCAAGAAAGGACAGAUGCACAUGGAUUACAUAGUUCUACGCUAAAGUAAUAGGACGACUUAACAUAAACUAACAUGUAAGAUAUAGAAGAAAAAAUCAAAUAUAUAGCUAACGAUAAUGCAGUUAAGGAUGAGUUGGGCAGCCUAGAUUUUCCUAUUUAACGAAUCAAGCACGGAAGCCGUUCGCAUGUUAGAUGUUUUUUCACGUGUACUACACUUAGUACAUAGAGUAAACCACCGAAUGUCAUACUAUACAUAUAUAGCAAGAAUUCGUCCUGACAAUUAAGGAGGAAGGUUCGAGAGAAGAAGUUAAUGUGUGAUAGUCAACUAUCGAAUAUCAUUCUAUAGAUGUGGCAAGAAUUUGUCCUGACAAUUAAGGAGAGAGAUUUGAGACAAAAAGCUAAUGCGUCAAUCAACUACUGAAUGUUAUUCUAUACGUAUAUCUAAGCAUAUAUAGCAAGAAUUCAUCCUGAAAAUAAAGGAGAGAGAUUUGAGAAAGGAAUCAACGUGUGCGUGAAUAUUUAAAUUUUUGACGCUUAGAUUUCUGAUCAUAUGCACAAUGGCUUGAAUUGCGUUGGAUUAAAUGAGUAAACAGAAGUUUUCGAGCUAUUGUCCUCUAUAAACUUACAGUCGUUUCUCAUGCUCCCGUAUAUAUACUCAGAUACGCGGGUUUAUAAUAUACUUUUGUUUUCCGACAAUAUAUUUCAUCCUUAAACUCUAACCGGGGAGAAUAAGUUCACAAAAAAAAAAUAACUGCAAUCAUUACGAGAAAAACGGCUAAGUCCUCCGGACUACUUAGGAAAUUUACAAUUAGUUACGGAUCAUCGUAGACUAUUCAUAACCGACGAUUCGACAAACUAUCACAAAAAAAUAUGUAUACAUGAUAUAUGCGAAGAAAAGAUAUGAGAAAGCGCAUACGAGUGCUGGAAGCGAUAGAGGCAGCUGCUGCAACGGAAGAGCUCGACGGAAAAGCCUACGUCACCACACAUACAACACACACUGGGCUUGCCAUCUUCCAUUUUUCUUCAACCUUGAAGCACAUCAAUCAGAUUUAUAUAACAUAAAUUAGGAGCAGCGAGAUUUGUAUAGAAGAAAGAGAAAGGGAGAGACUUAAGAGAUAAGUAUAUGUAUGGCGUGCUGGCCGAGUGCAUAGGUGUGUGGGGGAAAGGGAUAUAUAAUUGAAUUUGGAGAACAAGCUAGCAGACCGUAACGCGUACGUGCAGUCCUUUUCAGUUGCUGAAUUUAGGAGAUAUACAUGCAUGUUAGAUUAUUGUUGUUUAUGAGUAAUUCAACAGAAAAGUGUGGAAAAUCAAAUUAUUUCGAUUACUUUCCUGGCGUUUGUCAUGGGCUGCGUCUUUUCCUUUUAAGAAGAACAAUCCAACGUCAAGGGUCACGCUCAUUUAAAGUACUUUUCAACUUUCAUUUUACCAGUCCGUAUGGUGAAAUUUCUUCGGUGUUGCUUAGUUUUUGUUGCAUAUUUUGAAAUGUCCACGGCAGUUCACUGAAAAUAUAUUUAUUUUCAGUAUAUGAAUCGAAUUUUUCUUAUAUUUUAGUUUGUCAAAAAUAUUUUAGAUAUUAUUUGUUACUACGUUUUAAAAUCAAUUAUGUGUAGUUCCUACUGAAGAAAGGACUAUUAUCAAUAUCAAGUUAAGUGUAUUAUAUUCUUAAAUUUAAAAAUGCACAGAAAUAAUUGGAUGUUUGCAUCAUCAAUUAAACUGAUUUGAAAGCAUAGUUUAAGCUAAGGACUUAACACGAGUGGAAAAUUUAAGAUUCAAAAUCCUGAUAAAAGGGUCAGUCAUAACAAAUAAUACUCCGUAUGAUUUAACUCUAACAUAAUAACUGUGAUAUAACUGGCCCUUUUACGCACUUGAAUAUUACCUAGAUGCUAUAGGACAUUUACAUAUUGCUUAUGUGGACAUAGUAGCUAAAUAAUCCCAACGCGUUACAUGAGAUAAAUAUUGUAUAAUUGUUCAGUUUUCCGCAAUUUUUUCCAUCUCUUUAUAUAAAUAACCCAAUAUUGUUUCACAGUUAAUAACAUCUUCACCAUCUACAAUAGUUAUGAUGAGUCGAAGAACAUCGUGCUUUGAUGGGUGCUGACGAUUAUAAGAUCAUUUCGUGUAGCUACAAUUUGGAUAAAUACUCUAUAUAAUGUAUAUUUAAAAUUCAAGAUUAUGUGAUUAUUUUACAUAAAUGAAACAAUAAUAAUAAUAAAUAUUUAUAUAACAUGUAAAUGUGAGAUAUGGCAUGCUAGUUCUCAUUUGAGCCUUAUCAUAGUAAACAAUGAAAGAUAAAUACAUAUUAAUUUCAUAUAUCAAACUAGAAAAUUUGCAAAAAUCAACUAAAAUUUUAAAAUAAUAAAAUUUCGCAUAAACAAACUAAGAUAUGUUGGAGAUUCCGUUGCACCGCCAACAUAUUAGUUAGACCCGGGAUGCGUAGGUAUUCUGUUUAUUUAAACUUUGAAAGGACCUCAAACCAUUAUAUUUGUAAUUUGGAAAUGUAGAGAUCGAUUGAUCGGGGAAAAAAACGAAGAAUAGCAACAGAGACCUCCCGGUGAUGAGUCUCAACACCACCUCAGUUCAUCAUAGGAGUUCUCUCUCUAUAGGUUCUAAUCGACAGGAUCACUUAUUUUAGAAGAUUUCGUGCAUUGAAACCAUUAGAAUAAGUGAACCAAAGAAAACCAUAAUCUUUAUUAUGGUGUCUUAGCUCACUUAUGUAGAAUUGAAUAGUAUGGAAAUGCAAUCAUUUCCUCUGCAUUGACAUGAUCUGAUGCCAUCGGAGUGACACAAGCGAUUUAAAAAAAAACGAGACUAGACUAUAUUGGUAAGAAGUAAUCCCUAUGUGUGUGUAAAAAGUAUCCCAAAUGUUUUUUACUCCCUCCAUCCCAUUUUAAGUGUCCUGUUUGACUUUUGAAUGGUCAAAUUGAUCAAAUUUUGAUUGAGAUUCACACAUAUAAUAUAAUUUUGAAAAAUAAAAAAAUUAUAUCAUUAUAAAGUACAUACAAUAUACUAUAAAAUGUAAUUUUUAUUUUUUAAAAAUAAUAACAAUUUUGUUUUUUAUACUUGGUCAAAAUUUGGUCAGUUUGACUGUUGAAAGUCAAAACAGAACACUUAAAAUGGGAUGAAGGGAGUAUUUGGUAGACGGAAAAUGCUACAUGCACAGAAUUGGGUACAGAAAUAUUCACAGAAUGAGUAUGUGUUAACUUGUGAUUGGAAUGGCCCCGCUGCACAUGCAUUAAUAGCACCAAUUAAAACUCCCCACCUAGAUUGCCAUGUCAUUUUGUGUAAAAUUAUGUACCCAAUUUUGUGCAUGUAGCACUACUCUUGGUAGACCCGGGUGUUUAGACAGGGCAGUCAUGCAUGAAGUUCAUCCACAUCCGUCCCCAAUAUCAUAUACUUCUUACAUUUUCUUAUAUUUACUCAUUUUUAAUCAAAUUUAUUAUAUCUAUUAACACACUUCUAAAAAUUUUGAAGGCAUAAUUUAACUUAUUACAUUUUAACCUUAUUUUAAUAAAAUAAAAAUAUGUAAAUAAUAUUUUAAAAUUCAUGAUUUUUAUAAAAUAUAAUGAUAUAUAUUAAUCAUAUGAUCAGAAUUAUGUAUUAAAAAUCAAACGAUUUGAUUAUAAAGACCGGGGGCAAUGGGGCUUUUUGGGUGAAAUAUAAAAUUAAGUGUUUCUUGUUUAAAGUAAAAAGGCGAAAUGGAAGUUGGAAACAAAUUAAAACUUAUAAGUGAUUAAAAUGUUUGGAAAAAAGUAGAAAUCAUGAAACAAAAACUAGUAUUCUCAAUUUUUUUAUACGUACUUCUUGAUUUUCUACACGGUACAAAUAAAUGCUUAAAACUUAUAAAACGAGAAAGUGGGCUUUCAAACCCCGGCGAAACACCCUCAUUAUGUAAUUCAUUCUCUAUCUGUGCAUGGAUUCUGUAUGUUCUAUAUGUACAGCAUGAAGAGUGAAGACCAGGAACAUUUUAAUUUACAAGAUGCAAGGUAUUAUUUAAAAAAUGUUCACGAAUUGUAUUGUGCAGAAAAAGUACUAUAUAUUGUUACCCAAGACCACAAAAAUUUCAAACACGAGACUCCUAAUUUCGAGACAGCAGCUGCGAGCAUUAAUUUGCCGACUACUAAGGAAACUUGGACUUGAGUACCACGUGCAUACGUACUCGUCUACUAGAGGAAAAACUCCAAUCAAACGAGAUAAAAUGUGAUUCAUGCACUACCACAAUUUAAUAUCAUCCUUUCAAGUAGCCAUUUUUCAAGCACAUGCCUCCAAGAUCUAAAUAAAGUUGCAUGUACUAUAUCAUGUUUUGUCUAGAUCAUUUGUUACAUGACGUUGCUUUGGUCUUUGGUUACAUGAUACAUGCAGGACUCUAUACCUAAAUUAUUCAUAUAUUAGAAAAUCGGUGAUUUACACACUACCGACCAGACUAUUUAUUGGAUGUACAAUAUUAUUAUUACCGAGUUUGCGGUCAGAUUCUAAUUAUUUAAAUGCACAGUAUCACAUCACUAGAUUGUAAAUAUUUUGCUUAGGUCUUAAUUAGUUACAUGAUACAUGUACGACUUCUUUACAUAAAUUGUUUCGCAUAUUAGAAAACAUGAGAACCACCGAUCAGACUCAUUUUAUUGCAGCGCCGAUCAUUUGGAGUAACAACCUAAGGUAGAAACUUAGGUACAGUAUCAUUCGAAUUUAACACUUAACAUCCUUAAGAAGCUUGUACCUGCGAGCAACAGUCCUUGGGGAAGGCACUCCACUAACAAUUAUAUUCUUUCUCAUGUGGCUGGAGCCGCUGUGCCCCUUGGUCGGACUACUGUCACCCGAAUACUCCGACGGCUUGGAGGUGAUGAUCAUGCUGCCAACAUCCCGGGAACUGGCUUUGCUCGAGGCCGCGCUGCACGGAGAACUUUUCUGCUCACUUAAACACCAAUCGCAAAUCUCAGUCGGCUCCGAUGAUUUCACGUAGU